GGGCCAACACAAGUGGUGGAACAUGUGGUUUAAUGCGAUAAUACGCGCGAAAUCUUACCAGCUUUUGUAUUUAAAUGAUCUCGUAUUUUACGAGUUAUCUUAAAUAUGCGUUUGAGAUAAAUCUUUAAAACAGGUGUUGCAUGGCUGUCGUCAGCUCGUGUUGUGAAAUGUUUGGUUAAGUCCUUUAACGAGCGCAACCCUUUUUUUUAGUUGCCAGUUUGAAAAAACGCACUCUAAAAAGACUAUUUAUGAUGAGUAAAUGGAAGAAGGAUGACGUCAAGUCCUCAUGGCCCUUAUAAGCUGGGCUACACACGUGUUACAUUGGUAACUACAAAAGGGCAGCUAAAAAGAAAUUUGGAG
Molecule: ribosomal RNA, 360 nt
Filed under: uncultured bacterium
Lineage: Bacteria
Description: partial 16S ribosomal RNA
Rfam family: Bacterial small subunit ribosomal RNA
Source: RNAcentral